Long non-coding RNA from Bufo bufo (common toad), 223 nucleotides. RefSeq lists it as uncharacterized. The record is from RefSeq and is a predicted model, not a curated record. The transcript has 2 exons. NCBI's taxonomy places the organism in Eukaryota, Metazoa, Chordata, Amphibia, Anura, Bufonidae.
GGGGGAAGCAGGACUCACAGGCUUUAUCUAAGAGUGUAUGGGGGAAGCAGGACUCACAGGCUUUAUCUAAGAGUGUAUGGGGGAAGCAGGACUCACAGGCUUUAUCUAAGAUGUAUGGGGGAAGCAGGACUCACAGGCUUUAUCUAAGAGUGUAUGGGGGGAAGCAGGACUCACAGGCUUUAUCUAAGAGUGUAUGGGGGGGAAGCAGGACUCACAGGCUUUA